UAUUUAAACGUAGGUCCCGGGUGCAAAUGCAAGAACACUGGCCAUUUUGUGUGGAUGUUUGUAAAUCUGUCAUGCUAAUUACAUUUUUGGCAGCCAGGAAGCUAGAUGGUUGCUCUAAAAGUCUGUGUGUUUGUGUGCGUGCGUGCGUUUGUGUGUGCGCGUUUGUCCACUUAGCGACAUAUUGGCUGGCUUGGUAACAGCGGCCCACAUUGCAGAACGUUGCAGGGCUGGAUAGAGAGAGAAGGAAAUUGCCUUUCCCAGGCCAGCCCCCUCAUCUCAUCUCACCCAGCAACCCUUGCACCUGUCGUGUCACGUGGACGGAGAGAUAUUCCUGUCACCAGGCAGGCUAGGAAAGCUUUAAAAAGAUAAACAUUCACACGCCAUGGACCAGAGGUUGAAUACAUUGACCAUGUUGUCAAUCCAGCAAUGACUUCAUCCAGAGAAUGUCAGACUUUGAUGAUAAAGUUUGCCUACAAGAAGGACCGCAGCGCCACCUUCCUGUUCAGGUCAGUCCAAAAAGAUAAAUGAUGUAUAAAUGAUGCAAUAUGCAAGGGAGUUAUGUAUAUUGUAGAUCAGAAGGUAAUGCUA
Molecule: non-coding RNA, 588 nt
Organism: Salmo salar (Atlantic salmon)
Lineage: Eukaryota; Metazoa; Chordata; Actinopteri; Salmoniformes; Salmonidae
Source: RefSeq, a predicted model, not a curated record